Molecule: ribosomal RNA, 497 nt
Filed under: uncultured bacterium
Lineage: Bacteria
Description: partial 16S ribosomal RNA
Rfam family: Bacterial small subunit ribosomal RNA
Source: RNAcentral
GAUGAACGCUGGCGGCGUGCCUCAUACAUGCAAGUCGAGCGAACAGACGAGGAGCUUGCUCCUCUGACGUUAGCGGCGGACGGGUGAGUAACACGUGGAUAACCUACCUAUAAGACUGGGAUAAAUUCGGGAAACCGGAGCUAAUACCGGAUAAUAUAUUGAACCGCAUGGUUCAAUAGUGAAAGACGGUUUUGCUGUCACUUAUAGAUGGAUCCGCGCCGCAUUAGCUAGUUGGUAAGGUAACGGCUUACCAAGGCGACGAUGCGUAGCCGACCUGAGAGGGUGAUCGGCCACACUGGAACUGAGACACGGUCCAGACUCCUACGGGAGGCAGCAGUAGGGAAUCUUCCGCAAUGGGCGAAAGCCUGACGGAGCAACGCCGCGUGAGUGAUGAAGGUCUUCGGAUCGUAAAACUCUGUUAUUAGGGAAGAACAAAUGUGUAAGUAACUAUGCACGUCUUGACGGUACCUAAUCAGAAAGCCACGGCUAACUACGUG